GGUUUGGUGGUGUAGUUGGUUAUCACGCGUCCUUCACAUUUGUGCGCUCGGACGAGGUCCUGGGUUCGAACCCCUGCCGAACCA
RNAcentral lists this transfer RNA (84 nucleotides) under Leucosporidium creatinivorum. RNAcentral describes it as "Leucosporidiella creatinivora tRNA". It matches the Rfam family "tRNA". Rfam says of the family: Transfer RNA (tRNA) molecules are approximately 80 nucleotides in length. Their secondary structure includes four short double-helical elements and three loops (D, anti-codon, and T loops). Lineage: Eukaryota; Fungi; Basidiomycota; Microbotryomycetes; Leucosporidiales; Leucosporidiaceae. The record is from Rfam by way of RNAcentral.